UGUUGUGCAUAUACGGAGAUAUAGGGAUCAGGAGGUAUUAUGAUAGUCCAUACCAGAAAAAAAGAAGGAAAAAGAUAAGAAACCUAAGGAAAAAACAUGUCUUUGUUGUGCACAUACAGAGAUAUAGGGAUCAGGAGAUAUUAGGAUAGCUCAUAUGUUAUUUAGCCCAGCCCACACAGAGCGAUGCAUGUGGACCGAGUUGAAUAUGAAGCAGCAGGGGACGGAUCCAGCGGAGAAUGUCUAUCCCCUUCCUUUCUCGGUUUCUCAGCUGGGUAACAGAGGCGUUUCCUCAGCCGCGGACCAGUGCGAUUUCUUAUCU
Molecule: long non-coding RNA, 319 nt
Filed under: Triticum aestivum (bread wheat)
Lineage: Eukaryota; Viridiplantae; Streptophyta; Magnoliopsida; Poales; Poaceae
Description: long non-coding RNA (TAES_LNC020609)
Source: RNAcentral